GUCGUAAUUAUAUGAUAAACUUUUUUGGUUUAAUGGAAAGUAUUUGAAGACAUUCGACUCAAGGAGGUCAUCUAGAGUUCAUAUUAAAUUUUUAUUAUCUCUUUAAAAAAAAAUCGACGGGAGUACGAUGAACACAUUCUGAAUCAAUACCAAGAUAUUCUAUAAAAGAUAUGCAGCUGAUGAUUCUCUGACGACCUCACGAUCUCUCAUCGAUGACCAGCCAGACCAGACACCAGCUAAUUCUCCAGACGUCAAACAUUCAACUGUGAAUUCUCAACUUUGAAUAUUGUAGCAAAGCAGAUAAAUGUUUACAUGACAAAAUAUAUAUCAAUACUAUUUAAACUGAUCAUUGGAAGUAUCUUAAUUAUCAAUACUAUUAUUAUUCAUUGUUCAAAGUCCAAUCUA
Microplitis mediator is the source of this 405-nucleotide long non-coding RNA. RefSeq lists it as uncharacterized. The transcript has 5 exons. The record is from RefSeq and is a predicted model, not a curated record. NCBI's taxonomy places the organism in Eukaryota, Metazoa, Arthropoda, Insecta, Hymenoptera, Braconidae.